UAGGGAAUAUUGGGCAAUGGGCGCAAGCCUGACCCAGCCAUGCCGCGUGCAGGAUGAAGGCGCUCAGCGUUGUAAACUGCUUUUAUCUGGGAAGAACUGUAGUCCUGCGGGAUUGCUUGACGGUACCAGAGGAAUAAGCACCGGCUAACUCCGUGCCAGCAGCCGCGGUAAUACGGAGGGUGCAAGCGUUGUCCGGAUUUAUUGGGUUUAAAGGGUGCGUAGGUGGUUUAGUAAGUCUGGUUUGAAAGCUGGUCGCUUAACGAUCAGAUGUGGCUGGAAACUGGUAAACUUGAAUGCGUUGGCGGUAGCCGGAACGGGUCAUGUAGCGGUGAAAUGCAUAGAUAUGACCCAGAACACCGAUUGCGAAGGCAGGCUACUACGACGUGAUUGACACUGAGGCACGAGAGCAUGGGUAGCGAACAG
This 423-nucleotide ribosomal RNA is filed under the name uncultured bacterium. RNAcentral's name for it is "bacterial SSU rRNA". It matches the Rfam family "Bacterial small subunit ribosomal RNA", at positions 355 to 775 of the family's 1533-position model. The record is from RNAcentral.